This is a small nucleolar RNA of Myotis daubentonii (Daubenton's bat), 64 nucleotides long. RefSeq annotates it as small nucleolar RNA SNORD43. Lineage: Eukaryota; Metazoa; Chordata; Mammalia; Chiroptera; Vespertilionidae. The record is from RefSeq and is a predicted model, not a curated record.
CACAGGUGAUGAACUUAUUGAGGGAUGGACAGAGGCUGUGUGCUGAUUGUCAUGUUCUAAUUUG